This 138-nucleotide microRNA precursor is filed under the name Pteropus vampyrus (large flying fox). RNAcentral describes it as "miRNA (ENSPVAG00000024384.1)". Lineage: Eukaryota; Metazoa; Chordata; Mammalia; Chiroptera; Pteropodidae. The record is from RNAcentral.
CAGGACGCCCAGUUAAAUUUCAUUUUCAGAUAAACAAUGGAUAAUUUGUAGUACGAGUCCCAUGGAGUAUUUGGGACAUACUUAUAAUAAAAAGAUAUCUGUCAUUUACUUGAGAUUCAAAUUUAUCUGGGAGUCCUG